AGUUCCCUGGAACGGGACGCCAGAGAGGGUGAGAGCCCCGUACGGUCGGACGCCUAGCCUCUGUGAAGCUCCUUCGACGAGUCGAGUUGUUUGGGAAUGCAGCUCUAAAUGGGAGGUAAAUUUCUUCUAAAGCUAAAUACCGGCCAGAGACCGAUAGCGCACAAGUAGAGUGAUCGAAAGAUGAAAAGCACUUUGGAAAGAGAGUUAAACAGUAUGUGAAAUUGUUAAA
Molecule: ribosomal RNA, 229 nt
Filed under: Prymnesium parvum
Lineage: Eukaryota; Haptophyta; Prymnesiales; Prymnesiaceae
Description: partial Eukaryotic large subunit ribosomal RNA
Rfam family: Eukaryotic large subunit ribosomal RNA
Source: RNAcentral